This is a long non-coding RNA of Lactuca sativa (garden lettuce), 1248 nucleotides long. RefSeq lists it as uncharacterized. Lineage: Eukaryota; Viridiplantae; Streptophyta; Magnoliopsida; Asterales; Asteraceae. The record is from RefSeq and is a predicted model, not a curated record.
CUACUUAACUAAGCCCUACGACACAACACAACGCCGAACGGGCAAAGUGAGGCUUACAACAGCAACAAGGCGACGCCGAUAAAUUUCUUGAUUUUCUCGAUUCAACCUAUUUCACAUCUGGUAUCACGACGCAAUGUUUACUGUGAUUCCAAAUUGAUACGUGGCUGAUCUAGUGUGUGUCAGAGAGAUGACUAACUGCUGCUUGUAAACUUGUGUCAGAUCUGGCAAAGUUGUACGCUGAGUAGAACAGAUCUAUUAUCAGCUCCUUCAAUCUGUCUUUGUAGCUUUUACUUUUGUUUCCUAUUUUUGUUCGACUAUCAAAGCUGUGUCAUAUAAGAGAGUUUGAAGAGCUUAAAUAACAUUUCAAGCCAGAGUGUUUGCAACCAACAACUUUGGUGCAGAUUUUCAUUGGAAUGGACAGUCCAUGGUUGAUUUUAAGUGAUUGGUUGUUGAAUCUGGGCAAGGAAGCCAUGGGUUUUUGAAGAUUGUAGCAAUGCUUUCUCUUUACAAACAUGAAAGUUUGGUUUAUCUUUUUAGGAUUUUAAAGUUUUGUGAUGCAGAGAUCGUUGUCCAUGAAUACAUAUCUCAGAGAAGUCCACACUUGCAUGUCACUAGCAAUGAUCUAGUGUGGACUCAAAGCUUGAAGAUAUGCAUUGGGAUGGCUUAUUGAGAUGGCUUGUGGGUUAGCCUACCUUCAUAAAUUUGUUAAAACGGUGGAUUAAAAUAUUUUACCGUGAUAUUAAAAGUUCCAACAUCUUGUUAGAUGAAAAUUGGAAUGCCAAGAUCGCAGAUUACAGCAACCAACAACUUUGCUGUAGCGAUAUUGCACGUGGAUUGGUCAGAAUGUAUGCAUCUAAUUGUGUAUGAGUAUGCAUCUAAAAGAAGUCUAAAUUUGCAUCUCGAUAGCAAAUGUUCUAGUUUGGAAUCAACAUCCGAAGAUAGUUUGGAAUCAACAUCCGAAGAUAGUCAUAGAGAUACCUAUUGAAUUAGUUUAUCUUUAUAAUUUUGUAUACAGUUUGACUUAAAGUAUUGUAUUAUGAUAUCAAAAGCUCCAACAUUCUAUUAGAUAAAAAUUGGAAAACGAAAAUCUAUAGAGUUUGGUUUGUCCAAACUUAUUAAUGCUAAUAAGUUAACAUUUUUUUUUUUAUCAUUUUCUCUGUGGGUGCUAUUGGAUAUCAAGAUUCAUUGUAUGCGAUACGAAAUACUAGUUUAUAGCAAGAACGUCUGAUGUUUGCUAUUUUGGUAUGA